GGCGGUUGUAACGAUAACAAUCAUAAAGUAGCGAAAUUCCUUGCCAGCUAAUUCCUGGCCUGCAUGAAAGACGUAACGAUUGCCCUACUGUCUCCAGCAUGGACUCAGUGAAAUUGAAUUUUCCGUGAAGAUGCGGAAAUCGUGCCCCAAGACGAGAAGACCCUAUGCAUCUUUACUGUACAUUUACAUUGAACAAAGAACUUAAGUAUGUAGGAAAGGUGGGAGUGCUUACAUCCUUGAAAUACCACCUUCUUGAGUUCUUCAUUCUUAUUUGCAUGGCAAAAAAAGUGUAUAUGAGGCAGUUUGACUGGGGCGGUCGCCUCCUAAAGAGUAACGGAGGCGUACGAAGGUAAACUCAAUGAAAGUUGGAAACUUUCUGAAGAAUGUAAUGGUAAAAGUUUGCCUGACUGCAAGACUCAACAAGUCGAGCAGAGACGAAAGUCGGUCAUAGUGAUCCAAAAGUACCGCGUGGAAGGGCUUUUGCUUAACGAAUCAAAGAUACGCUAGGGAUAACAGGCUAAUAAUUCCCAA
This 531-nucleotide ribosomal RNA is filed under the name Ostreococcus mediterraneus. Its description in RNAcentral is "partial Bacterial large subunit ribosomal RNA". It matches the Rfam family "Bacterial large subunit ribosomal RNA", at positions 1929 to 2495 of the family's 2925-position model. The record is from RNAcentral. Lineage: Eukaryota; Viridiplantae; Chlorophyta; Mamiellophyceae; Mamiellales; Bathycoccaceae.